This 253-nucleotide ribosomal RNA is filed under the name uncultured bacterium. RNAcentral's name for it is "partial 16S ribosomal RNA". It matches the Rfam family "Bacterial small subunit ribosomal RNA", at positions 524 to 776 of the family's 1533-position model. The record is from RNAcentral.
UACAGAGGUCCCGAGCGUUGUUCGGAUUCAUUGGGCGGAAAGGGUGCGUAGGUGGCAAAGGAAGUUGGAUGUGAAAUCCUGGGGCUUAACCUCAGAAUUGCAUUCAAUACUGCUUAGCUAGAGAGCUGUAGAGGAGACUGGAAUUUACGGUGUAGCAGUGAAAUGCGUAGAUAUCGUAAGGAACGCCAGUGGCGAAAGCGAGUCUCUGGGCAGCAUCUGACACUGAGGCACGAAGGCCAGGGGAGCAAACGGG